Molecule: long non-coding RNA, 2289 nt
Organism: Homo sapiens (human)
Lineage: Eukaryota; Metazoa; Chordata; Mammalia; Primates; Hominidae
Product: long intergenic non-protein coding RNA 507
Source: Ensembl
UUUUAGCCUCCUGCUCGCCAAAGCAUCUUUGAAAAAUCCUAACCUCCAAGCCUUCGGGGAGACUGAUUUGAGUAAUAACUCUGUUCCCUGCAUGGCUGGUCUAGUGUCAAUUAAACUCUUUCUUUACUGCCAUACCAUAGUCUCAGCGAAUUGGUUUUGUCUGUGCAAUGGGCAGGAAGAACGUGUCUGGUGAGCAUCUCCACACAUUCAGAAAUUGUCCAUCUAAGACAAUGGAGUUAUUUUCACCCUCAACAAAUGCCUCAACUCUGUGACAUUUUAAGCAAAUCUUAACUUUGACUUAUGAAUUCAAGAAGGAAAAAAAAAAAGUAAGAAAAUGUUGAUUGUAAUAUUUCCUCUGAACGUCCUUCCCCUGGGGACAGGCUCCCUUGCUGUUGUGUGGUCACUGUUCCCAUUAACCUAACGAAAUCUACACUUGCAAAUGAAGUCCUGGGGUCCACACUAAAUGUUCACAGUCUGGCCACAUGCUAAUAUUCCAUGUGCUAGCCCAUAUCUUUAAAUAGACUCAUGGAAAUGUGUUAAAUGAUAUAACAGAAUAAAAAUCAAGCUUAACUUAAAGAUGAGUCUUUUUUUUUCUAUAUGAGGAAAUAAAGCAACUGAACAUUUCUUUGCACUUUAUGUUAAAUUAAAUGCUAACAUGUACAGAAAAAAGAAAAAAUGCACUCUGAUGAUGAAGGGACUGAGUCAAAUUCACAACCAGGGUCUUUUUUUUUUUUUUUUUGAGACAGAGUCUCACUCUGUCGCCCAGGCUGGAGUGCAGCGGUGUGAUCUCGGCUCACUGAAACCUCUGCCUCCCGGGUUCAAGCGAUUCUCCUGCCUCAGCCUCCCGAGUAGGUGGGGCUAUAGGCACGUGCCUGUAGUACAUGCAGUAUAGUACUGGCAUGCCUGGCUAUUUUUUGUAUUUUUAGUAGAGACAGGGUUUCACCGUGUUAGCCAGGAUGGUCUCGAUCUCCAGCCAGGGUCGUUUUAGUGAAUGAGAACUGUGAAUCGGAACCCACAAAAAACAUUUUUAGCAAUCAGUUGGCUUUAUUUUAUUUGAAGAUAAUCUCAGCCAUUUGCUUUGCAUUGGAAUUCAUUUUGUUUUGAUCUGUUUUGCUAACAAAUCAGGCAUUCAGUUUUGCGCACCACAGGGGCAGGCAGCAUACGUGUUUUCUAAACCAGUGUCUACCCAUUGCUUUGCAGAACACCAGACAUGGGUGCUCCAAUCCACGUAGUGUUGAGGCAGUGAAGUUUGUGUUCCAGGAACUUCAGAACUCCUGAAUGUAUUGGUGUUGAUAAAAGGUGAUGAGAUGAAGUAGAAUGACCAUAAACUUAGAGGUAGACAUCACCUUGUGACUCAACAGCAGCCAAUAAGAUGGAAAUAAAGGCCAUGAAGUUAUCGGAUGGCAUCUACAAGGAAUACUUAGAUGAGGAGGUGACUCUGGUAGCAAUUGUUCUUUUGUCUUUCUCACCUUCCUUCUUGUCCUGUCUGGGAUGCUGAAGUGAUGGCUGGUAUACAGAUGCCCUGUUGUGAUGUUGAGAUAAACAUGAGAAUAAAAGUCGGCGAUUACAGAUGGCAGAGAAGAGAGAGAAAGAUAGGAUGUAGGUGGAUAUUGACGGAACUAAGUUUCUAUUGCACAAGUUCUACCACCAACCUCUGGACUUCAUGAUAUGUGAGGGAGAAAUAAACUCCUAUUUUAGAAGAGAUCUAUGUUACCUGCAACUGAACGGAAUGCUUAAUUGGCACAUCCUAUGUGCUCCAAACCUUCCUUAAUUUCUGUGUGUAAGGCAUACUUAGUCUUUACCCAUUAUUCUGUUCACAUUCAUUCACUUGAUCAGCCUCCCAACUCUAUGGUAAAGAGUUUACUACAGUUUACUCUAUUAGUAAGGGAGAUUCUGGAGCAAGCCCCACAAAUCAUAGAUUGAAUACCCAUUCAUUAAGAGAGAGAUUUAAAGAUACUUCUAUCCAAACACAUUUUAAAUUUCCAGCACCUUUGAGGUGGUGGAGGUUCAUGGUGGUUGAUAGGGUUUAAAUGACUUGUGAUUCAAGCUCCAUAUUACAAUGUAACAGUGCAAAAGUUCAUUUUUUUAAAUUUAUUUUACUUUAAGUUCUGGUAUACAUGUGUAGAACAUGCGGGUUUGUUACAUAGGUAUACAUGUGCCAUGGUGGUUUGCUGCACCUAUCAAACCGUCACCUAGGUUUUAAGAACCACAUGCAUUAGGUAUUUGACCUAAUGCUCUCCCUCAUGUUGCCCCCCAACUCCCUGACAGGGCCCAGUGUGUGAUGUUCCC